Molecule: long non-coding RNA, 32453 nt
Filed under: Coffea arabica (coffee)
Lineage: Eukaryota; Viridiplantae; Streptophyta; Magnoliopsida; Gentianales; Rubiaceae
Description: long non-coding RNA (CARA_LNC007325)
Source: RNAcentral
AUUUUUGGCACAGUUGUCUGACAGACUUUCAAAGGUCUGUUGAAUGCAUAUUCUGCAUGUGCUUACGAGUUGUGAUAGGAUGAGAAUAGUUGAAAUCCUAUAUCUCUUUCCGUCCAUAUUUUUUCCAUUUUACAGUGAUUUUAUGUUCACAAGAUGAGUUGGCAAUAUGUGAUCUUUGAAUAUGUUGAAUUGACUGGAAUUGGGAGAUGUCUUAUAUAAAGGAAUUAAAGAUUACUGAUGCUUUCUUUGACAAGUUUGAAUCUAGGACUGUGAUUUGGAAGAGAGAUGCGAGAGAAGAGGGUAGUCCCAGUGUAUCAUUGUCUAAUGUAGCAGACGCACAGGAGGUAUGGGGGUGGGACUUGCGAGUGCCUUUUUUAAUUCUUUUUGUGGGGAGUGGGUAGUCAUAUUUGCACUUGCUGUCCAAGAUUUUCCCUGGUUUGUAUUGCACAAGGUAAUGGAGUUUUAUUUUAGGCGUUUACUCUGUGUAUUAUGUCAUCAUUAUGUUUCAGGUGUCAUUUCCAAGUUCUAGCUGUUUUAGACCCGCUUCAUAAUUAGAUUCACAAGCCCUGAAUCCUCAUGUAAGUUGAUUUCCAAAAUUUUUAGUCAUACCAUCACUUUGUAUCUCUAAGAUUUUUACUGUUUUCUUUGCUUUAAUUUCCUUUUAUCUUUUUUUUUGGCAGCUAUUUCUUGUAGUAUUAUCCCUCAAGUUAUUCCUAAUCCUAAGACAUAUAUGCUAUUUUUCCUAAAGAAGCGCAUUUGUAGUUGUUAAGUGAUACAUUACUGCAUUAGGUGUGUUCCCUUCGCAUCCUUCAUAUAUUUCUUAAGGUCCUUUGCCAGUUAGUAGAUAAGGUUGGACUACUUUCAUAUCCUAUAGGUGUCCCAUUUCACAAGAUAUAUGUUCAAUGUAGUGUACAUUUGUAUCAACAUACACGUAAACUAUUUGCUACUACUCAGGCAUCUCAAUGUAGUGGUUGCAGCAACUUAUAAAAGAAUGUUGACUUAUGAUGCAAAAUAAGUAGGAAUGUGCCCCUGCAACCACGUAAACAUUUCGAAGUUUAUAGCACAAGUACCUCUCCUGAAUUUGUAUAUACUGCUUAAUGUCAUUUGCUUUCUGUCUAUUCUCUCUGUCUAGCACAGAGAUUUGAUGGAUUAUGUUGUGGACCACUAUGUUUGACAUCUGUCUACAUGGUGCUAAAGAUAAUAGUAUCAGCUGUUAAGACAAACUGCAGUGCAGCACUAGGAGCUAAUAAGAUUCAGCUAUAUCAAGGCAUCAAACACUGCUAUUUCUGUAGUUUUCGCUGUGCCUUAUCUUCAUGUUUUUCUUUUAGUUUUGUAAAAUAUGAGCUUAUAUAAGCCUGGAUUGCACUUGUGUAUAGUGUGCCAGUGCAUUUUCUUUUGGAGAACAAGGUUAUGCAGCUCAUUGUCUUACCAUGCAUGUGUCUGCUGGACUUUGAUCUGUUUUCACAGUGUAACUUGUAGAACCAAGAUGUGAAACACAUGCACAGGAUUAGACUGUCUUGACACAGGAAACUUGCUUAUAACUCAUCAUUUUUCUUGAAGGUAGAAAGUUUUUGCGCUACCCAACUUAAACCAGAUCGUGGUGUUGGAAGAAAUUCUUGAAGUUGAGUUUAGGCCGAUAACUAGAAGCUCUAGAAAUUGAUCAUUAUUAAUGGGCAGCCGUGGAAAUGUUUGAUGGCCUCCUUUAGGAUUGCUUAGAGAGAAAAUCUCUUCUCAGUUGCUGUUCCUUUUGAGUUCUAAGACUGGAAAAAUGUCCGUUAUCAUUAGAGAUGAAAUGUGCGAAUGGCCAAGUGGGAGAAGAAGGGUACAUAAUUGUUACAAUUAAUUGAAGCUACCACCUCUUAUUUUUUUUACCUCUUCCUGGUUCAAAUGAUUCUGUUACAUGGACUUUGGACCCCACAGGUAUCUACUCUGCUAAUUUAACUAUAAAGCACAUAGUUGUUCCUGGUUCUUGCUUCUAAAGUUUCUUGGUAUCAUGUAGUGCGAGGCAGAAAACACAAUACUAGUGGUUCUCCUUUAUAUUGUGGUUUGCUUGCGGGGAAAGAUUGACCACCAAGGAUAGACUGCAUUCAGGGGUUAUGGAGAUUAAUCCAAUCUGUAUGUGUGCAUGAGCAAGUAGGGAACUAUAAAUGAUCUGUUUUUCCUGUGUCCCUAUUCAGCACAAAUUUGGGAAGCUGUGCAAAGGAAAUGCUUGUUGUUUAGGCAGGCUGGUGAUUGGGAUAUUAAAUUUGGAUGGAUGAUCAAACAUGCUGCUCAGAAGUCUUUUUGGUAGUCUUCAUCGACUAGCUUUUGCUGCAACAGUAUAUCACCUAUGUGUAGGGGAACAACCAAAUAUUGGUCAUGGUGCUUAAGGACAUGCAUGGAUCAUAGCAGGUUGAAAGAAUAUGUUGAAAAGGAGCAGAAUAUAUUCAGCUUCAAACGGAAGUGAAUUUUCUUACUUUGUACUUUCCAGAGUUAAGUUUCCCUGAGUUGAGUGAGUGAGCUGAUUUUUUUGAUAUUCAAUAUACCAGUAAAGUUAUAUAGACCUGUACAUAGCUUAGCUGGUAUUGGCUUUUUUUUUUUUUUUUUUUAAAGUAUAGGUUAAAAUGUAAAAUUACAGUUAUUUGACUGCCAUACCUGCUGCAAUUGAUCGAGUAUGUAUGUUCCUUGUGCAAGUUUCUGAAGAUCAGUGAUACGAUAAUAAGACAUGCAGAAGUAAAUAUGUGUAGAUCUUUAGGGCAUACAGAAGUAAACAGGCAUACAUACUGGACUGUUUACUGGAUUAAUUCUUACAAUAUCUGUACCUAAAUCUGCCCUUUUUAGGGUAUGUUAUUAUGUCCAAAUUUUCAUGUGCUAAGGUCCUUGAAGGGCUUAUAUUCUUCUUUCUUGUCACUGGUUUUCUCACAUAUUGCUUAUUUGUUACUAUAGUGAUGCUAGCCCUGUGGUUUCUCCUUGAAGGGUCUGCUGUUUUCAAUUAUACGAUGUUUCAGUUAUGUGACUGAUAUUGCUCUGUCUUCAUACCUCUCGUAAAACAUGUCCAAAUUGAACCCGAGCGUGCAACAUAUAUCACUAGGAAUAGAAGAAGUUUGUCCAAGAAUUUGGGAAACAUGUCCAAUUUCUUAAGAUAGAUUCAGUGCCUCAAUUGUACAAAGCCCAUUCUACAAGAAAAUUUUUAUGCAAGAAAUUUGCAAACAAACAGGAAGCAUAUAUGAUAAUAAAGCUACAAAGCAAACCAAAUUAGAACUUUAGAAGAUCAGUCUCUUCUUCAUCGUCUUUCACAACUCUAAUCUUCAGGUGCUCGGGCUUAAUAUAAGCUUUUCGUUCAAAUAAGCUUCCAGAACCUUGACAAAAAUAAGAAGAACACCCUGUAAUGCUUCAAAAUGGGAUUAAUAUCCAUACAAGUAGUGGUAUAGGCCACAAAGAAGGCUAUGGUGCUGUACUUGUUCCAAUACCUGAAAUUCAGAGAUGCUGAAAAAUGAAUCUGUAGACAAAGAUAGACAGGAAAACUCAACAAGACAAAUAUUAGCAUCUCUAAAAUGGCAUUUGCGUUCUUCUUAACGAUGGUGUCUCUGGUAGACUGUUACUCCAGUGUUUGAAAAAAUGUGCAGUUUUUUUGUUCUUUUGUUUGGUAAAGAAAAAUUUGGGUGGAUUAGGCUCUGAUCACUAUCAUGGGUCAAGACAUGUUCUUGGAACCAUAGGUCGCUUAUAAGAGUUUUUACAAAUCGUCCACCAACCCAGUUGUUACAUCGGCAGUGGAAUUCGAACGCACAGUUUUUGCGAAGAAGUAACCCAUUUUUACAAAUUAAACUGACUUGUGAUGGUGAAAAAAUGUGCAAUGAUCAUGCCUGCUGUGGCACAUUUCAAAACCUGCAAGGAAGAGGAGUGGAUGAAUAGUUACUAACUUGUAUGAACACCAAAGCAUUGUUCCACAGGAAAAACAUCAUUCCGUGACUAUGUGGAUCAGUUAACCUCCUUUCUAAAGAUGAAGGGACAAAGAAAUUGACAGCACUUCUUGUUGGGUGUCUAGAUGGCCUAACAAAAGAGUUGUCUAUCAUUUACUCCUGUAAUAUAACUACCAUCAAGGCAAGAUAUUGUCUAACAGAACAGGAACUUGUAUAUUUUGUUGAGCGAAAAACGCCAAUCUUGUCUGAGAAAGGUUUCAUAAGAUCACAGAAAUUAGUGAGAUAGAAGAAUAGAAGCAUUCUUUAUCUUAAGCAUGCAGAUAACUAGCUUGUAACGCAUAUAAACCAAUCAAUCCUAUGAAAGACAUUUUUUAGCUUGGCGCCUUUCAUGUGUCGAUAAGCAUAAUGAAUUUACGCAAGGCAGAGUUAAUUUGGAGUCGAGAUAAUUUAGACCUUAACGUCUACCUUUCUAUAAUCCAAGACCUUAUUUAGGAGGAGCAACGAGUGUUGGCUCCUUUUUUUUCAUUUUAAUUUAUUGAGAUUCAUUGUAUUGUACCUUACUUGCAAUAGAGUAUGUCAAGAGUGAAUUUUUUUUCUCGUCCCACAAAUUAUUAAAUUAGUAUUAAUAACUAGUCAAUAUUUAUUUUGGAAAAAUUUUCUCCCAAUUUCUUUUGUAUCUCAUAUGUAGUAAGUGUUUUAAAAUGCUUAAAUAAAACAACCAUCCCAACAGUUGUCAACCUAGACAAGUAAAAAAAAAAAAAAAAAUUGCCGACAAAAAGAAUGCAACGGAUCUUCUAUCUUACUCUCUAUAUCACUUUCCGUCUCACUUUUUAGGGAAAAUCAUUCAAAACAUCCCUCACAUUUUGUAAAAUGACUUUUUUCGUCUCUCACAUUUAAAAGUGUAAUUUUAUGUCUCUUACAUAUUCACAUCGGUCAAAUUUAGUCCCUAACUAGGUUUCCGAUCAUUUUUUGGCCGGAAUCCAUCACGUGCAAGGCACGUGAUCAUUUUUUAAGGGUAAAUUGGUCAAAUUAUAUUUUACAUAAUCUAAUCUACAGUCCUCCACAUUUUAUAAAAUAAAUUUUUUCGUCCCUCACAUUUUAUAAAAUGAUUUUUUCAUCACUCACAUUUCACAAAAUGAAUUUCUCCAUCCCUCACAUUUCAAAAAAUGAAUAUUUCCAUCCCUCACUAAUUAUGUGUGUGAGGGAAAUCCUAAAAAAAAAAAAUGUGUUUGAAUACAUUUUGUUUAAACACAUGUAUAUGUCUAUUUGAUUUUGCUUAAUAAUACGAAUAGCAUAAAUAUAUGUACGUUUCUAUUUGAUUUCACUUAACAAUAUGAAUACCAUAUAUUAUACGUGAUCAUUUGAUUUCAUCUGGUAUUAGCUAGUAAAAAAUCUUGCAUUUAUUGUCAAGUUGGUCAAUAAAGCUAUUUUUGGUCAAAAUAUAAUAAGAAUAUGCAAAUUAAGAUUCUAUUGGAAAAUAUUAGUCAUAAUCAUACAAAAAGAAAAGAUAGCCCACAAGUUGGGCCUAAUUACAUACAUGUGUUUAUACUAUUAUUAUUAAGCAAAAUCAAAUAGACACAUACAUGUGUUUAAAAAAAAAAUGUAUUCACACACAUAAUUAGUGAGAAAUGAAAAAUUCAUUUUUUGAAAUGUGAGGGAUGGAGAAAUUCAUUUUGUGAAAUGUGAGGGAUGAAAAAAAUUAUUUUAUAAAAUGUGAGGGACGAAAAAAUUUAUUCUAUAAAAUAUGGAAGAUUAUAGAUCAGAUUAUGUAAAAUAUAAUUUGACAAAUUCACCCUUCAUAGAUCAGAUUAUGUAAAAUAUAAUUUGACAAAUUCACCCUUCAAAAAUGAUCACGUGCCUUGCACAUGAUGGAAACCCGCCAAAAAAUGAUCGAAAACCUAGUUAGGGACUAAAUUUGACCGAUGUGAAUAUGUAAGGGAAAUAAAAUUACACUUUUAAAAGUGAGGGACGAAAAAAGUUAUUUUAUAAAAUGUGAUGGACAUUUUGGACGAUUUUUCCCACUUUUUAUUGUAUUGUUAUUUUUUCUCAUAAACAUUAUAUUUUAGAUCUAAUAAUUAUUAACUGGAUAAUACACAAAAUUUAACAAACUCAAAAAAUCAAAAUGCAUAAAAAAUGAGAUUUUUUAUGAAUUUUAUAAUUUUCUAUUAUAUAUUAUUUUUUGAGAUUGUUGUAUUUAUUUUUUAUUUAGUUAAUAGUUAUUAGAUCUCAAGAAAAACAAAAAAGAUUCAAUGAGGGAUGAAAAAAUUCAUUUUGUAAAAUGCGAUGAAUGAAAAAAUUUAUUUUGUGAAAUGUGAAGGAUGAAAAAAUUCAUUUUGUGAAAUGUAAGGGACCAUAAAUCGGAUUCUUAGAAAUAUGAUUUGACAAUUUUGCCUCUGAAAAAUGAUCACUUGCAAUGUACGUGGUGGAUUCCUGUUAAAAAUUAGUUGAAAAUUUAAAUAAAGACCAAAUUUGACCAAUAUAAAUUUAUAAGGGACGUAAAAUUAUAUUUUUAAAAGUGAGGAAUGAAAAAAAUUAUUUUAUAAAAUGUGAAGGACGUUUCGAAUUUUUUUUCUAAAAAAAAAAAUAACGUAUAGAUUUAAAAUAAAAAUUAUUAAAAAUUUAAGUUAAUAUUAAAAAUUUAGAAUUAAAAUCAAAUUUUAUUUUAUAAGGAACGUAAACAUGUUAAAAUGAAAAAUUUAUUUGACAAGUAUGAGCGACGUUUUGAGUACUUUCCUUCUACAUUUUUGCUUCGGCGAAAGAAAUCGAGAAAAAAAAGCAAAGAAGAGAGAAAACCCUUGAUGUCCAAUGGCUGGCGGUCCUCGGGCGACGAAGGAGUCAUCCCGAUCAUUGGAGGAGAAGGAGCCGGUGUCAAAUUCGUCGGAGGAAGAGGAAGUGGAGCGAGGAGUUAAUGUUAAUGACCAAGUUGGGGAAGAAGACGCGGAGGAGCUCGAAGCCGUUGAGAGAACUGCCGACUAUUCCGACGAAGAAGAAAAUAAUGCUGCCGCUAACCACGGUGGUGGUGAGCUGGACGACGAAGAGGAGGUAGUUGAAUGGUUAAUUUGUCUCUUGGUUAUUUUGUUAAUUUUUAUUUUUGGUUAAUUGAUUGUUCAUUAGUACAGCUGUAGAGUUUGCUUUGUGGAGUAUGUGUGUCUUGGUUGGAGUUUGUUUUACCAAUUUUUGUUUUGAUUUUACGGUUUACUGCUGGUUGCCUCUGGUUGGUUGGAUAUUUUAUUCCUUUGGCUUUUAGUUUGGAUUUUGUGUUACUUUUAUUUAUUUAUUUAUUCUUUUUUUUUCUUGUGCAGAUUGUUGUCUGGAAAGUUUGAUCUGCUUGGGGAGUGUUUGCUGCAUUUUGGUGCAUUUUCUUUAUAUAUGUGAUGCAAUGGGUUUUUUAGGAGAUAUAUAGAUAGUUGAAGUUUAUUAGGAGUUUUAUGGCUGUUUGGUUGCUGUGUUUACUUCCAGAAAGUGAAAUGAAUGGGAAAUUUGAGGUCUUUUGAGCUACAUCCUGCAGAGCUGUUUAUGUGUUUAUUUUAUUUUAUUUUUCUGAAUUAAGAAAUUUUUACUGCAGAAUUUGCCCUAAUUUUAGUGCUUAUGGAUCUUUAUUUUUUAAUAUUGUCCAGUUUCAAACAAGUAAAAGAUUCUCUCCUUCUUUUCUUUCUUUUUUUUUUUUGUGUUUGAGAGAUUAUUUGAAUGGUUUUUGUUUGAUAAAUUUUACUAUUGAUAUCUUGUCUUUCUUUUUUAUUCUUUUGUUAUUGUUUUGUGCAGAGGAUGGCUUGCAAAUGGGGGUUAGUAGUGGCAAUUUUGAUAUCUUUAUGUGCAAUUUCAACUGGAAGAGGUAAUUAAUUUACGCAGUCAAGUUGAUGCUGUGAAAUUUUAUUUAGGUAAUUUGGCUGUUAACUAACUGUUGGAAGAAUUUGAAGUUAUAGGUUGCAUAGUUUAGGUCAUGGUUUAGGUUGAAUUAUGCUUUGAGUUAGAAGAAAAUGUGAACGUGAUUUCUUGAAGUUGUGCUUCUUUAAAUGGGCUAGGGAUUUUCCUCUAGAGAAUCUAGAAAUUUAACAAGAAUGUUGAAGCAUGAAGUUCUUCAAGGAGAUAUCUUUGCGCAUAGUAAUGUACUGCCAUUGUCAUGAGAGAGUGUGAAUUUUAAUUCAUUCCUUUCGUUCCAGGUGAAAAUUUGUGUCUUGAGUGCCAUGAGGGUGGUUUAGAUGAGACUAAGGUAGGUCUUGGUUUCAAUAAUGCUUUUCACUGUGUGUGCUUGAGUGAAGGGAACUGGAUAUACAAGUGUAAUAAGAAUGCCAUAAGCACUUAAUAUUUUACAAGUGUAUAUUUCCUGAAAUAAUUUUGGAAAAGACUAAGCUAAAAUGCUAAGUUUAGUAAUGGGGAUCUUUUUCUGUUUCUGUUCUUUUCUCGUGUUGUGUUGUUCUUAACCUUGAGUCAUAAAAUAUGUGAACUUUUUGACUCACUUUGUUGUGGAAACUCUAAUAUCAUUUAUCUUUUGGUUUUUUUUGGAUCAGAGCUUAAGGUCAAAAUCAAGCAUAAGGAUCAUCAGCCAGUGUACAGUCACACACUUGCAAGAGUAUUGGCAGAAUAUGCUUCAGCAGUAAGUUUAGGCACAAAUACAGAAUCUCAACUCUAUGUUUAUGCAAUAAUUGUUUCAUACCCAGUAGCUUUUACUUUUAGCAUACAUUGUAUUGCUAAGAUACUUUGUGGUUUAAUUCUGAGAAAUUCCAUACCAACAAUGUUUCUGAAGGAAAAUUUCGCACUUGCAGGUCUACGUGUCAGAUACAACACAAUUAUUUACUUGGACAUGUGAAAGAUGUAAUGAUCUCACCGAGGUACUUUAUGAGCAUGACCACCACUUUAUGCUCGGCUGAUUGACUAACGGAAUUGCGGAUUAUUGAUGCAAUUUUUUUGGUGGCUAGUAUCACAGUAAUGGUCAAUUUUGUGUCUAAGCAAAGAAUUUUUCUAUAUUGGAGCAGGGUUUUGAAAUGAUAGAGCUGAUUAUUGAUGUCCAAUGCUGUCUCCAGGUGUGGUUUUACUGUAUAAUGGAAUGAGGAAGGUGGAUUGCAUUCUAAUUUAAACUGUUUGAUCCAAGUCUUCUCCAUUUCUUCCCUUGAUGAUGACAUUUCCUUGUUUGGAAGCCAAGUUUUUUGCCAAGUUUGUUUGCUACAAAUUUUUUAAAAACUUAUUGUUGCUUACAGUUUCUUAUAAUUGCUGCAGGCAUUCGUAGGAGUAGCAAAGGAUCUCAAUGCUAUUGUAAUUGCAUUUAGAGGCACUCAAGGAACCAGGUUUCAUUAUUUCCUUACUUUGUUGUUGUGUUUUUCUCUCAAUAUAGACUGUUUAGUGAAGUACAAGGGCCUUGCUUGAAGUUGACAGUUGGAGUUCAUUAAUUAUGUUCAUUUAAGGAAAAGAAAAAUGACUACAUGUCCUUUGAGAUUUCCCCAAAACUUAGUAUGUUUUUUUGCAUCCAAAUAGCGGAUGGUCUGCAGCCAUUUCUAACACCCUGAGAUAGAUGACAGGAGUGAUGUUUUCAAUUAGCUAUUCACUUAUCGUAUUUAGUACAUAAUAGCAAGUAUCUUAGCCUGAAUGUUCUGUCAUAUUCUGAUUUCCUUGUGUGGAUUAAUUUGUUGUAUACAGCAUACAGAAUUGGGUUACAGAUUUGUACUGGAAGCAACUUGACAUUAAUUACCCUGGAAUGGAUUAUGCAAUGGUGUGUGCUAUAUUGAGUUUUGAGUUAUGCCUCACCUCUAGAUCCUUUAUGGAACAAAUUGUGUUCAUUUGUCUCUACAUUGUUUCAGGUGCACCAUGGUUUUUAUGCUGCAUAUCACAAUACAACUUUACGUCCAGGAAUUUUAAGUGCUGUUGAAAGAGCAAAGGAGUUAUAUGGUGAUAUUAAAAUCAUGUUGACAGGGCAUUCGAUGGGAGGAGCUAUGGCUGCUUUCUGUGCACUGGAUCUCACGGUAAUUGUAACCUCAAGAGUUUUGAAGUUUUUAAUUUCUAAACACUUUGUCUUCUACAUGUCUUACGAAUACACGAUAGAUUAAAUAGGGAAACUAUUACUAUAUUCUGAUCUUUUAAAUUAUUUUUUGUUGGAAUCAUUGUCUUUAUAUUUUCGUUUCCUCCAUAUUCACUACUCAUAAUCCUCCUUACACCCACUUUAAAGAAAAUUUAUAGAAAGAAAAGGGAGGAAAAUUUCUUUAAAGUGUUCCUUGAUGGCUGAACUAGCCGUACAUAAGUGCUUGCCAUAUGCUUCUGUUGUUACAAAAUAUUUGGUCGUGCCAUUUUCUGCUGUUAAUAUGCCAUUCAUGAUGUUAACGGUCAAUAAGAGAGGUGACAUGAUCUUUUCUUUUCAUUUUUAGAAAAUAGAGCAUGGAAUGAUUAUUAUGUACAGAAAGUUUAUUUAAGGGUAAUUGGUGGAUAGUUGCAUCUCUGGACGAACAUUAUGAGAUUGUGUCGAACACACUGUGCUUUGCCAGGAUAUUUGUUAGGUUAUUCUUGGGUUAUCUUAUCAUCAAAGUUUUCUCUGCUUAUUCCCAGGUCAAUAUUGGAGAGAAAGAUGUUCAGGCUGUAACAUUUGGACAACCUCGAAUUGGUAAUGCAGCUUUUGCAUCCUACUAUAGUAAAUUCGUUCCUAAUACAAUCAGGGUUACACACGAGCAUGAUAUCGUGCCUCAUUUGCCGCCUUAUUAUUAUCAUUUCCCUCAGAAGACGUAUCAUCACUUCCCAAGAGAGGUAAUCCUCUGAUAAGUUGGAUCUUGUGCGGUUGGUUACAUGCAUGGUAUUUUGGUCAAAUUGCAUACUAGGUGGAGUCAAAUAAAAUGUGUACUUUUCUGAGAUUGCUUUCUAGCUUUUUCUCAAAUUAGUACUUGGAUUUGCAGGUGUGGCUUUAUGAUAUUGAUUUAAGAAGUUUAGUUUAUACGGUUGAGAAGGUCUGUGAUGGUUCUGGUGAAGAUCCCACAUGUAGCAGGUGAAUUUUCUCUUUAAUUAACUCUUAAGAUGCGAAAAUUGUUAUUUUGAGUGAUUACUUCUGCUGCCUGCCUGGAACUUGAUGUAUGAGAGGAUGUUGAUGACAAUGAAGAUACUUGGCUGCCCAUACAACAGUAUUAAGCAAUUGUCUCUUCUUUCAUUGACUAUAUGAAAGACAUAAUAAGUUGAUUUUGCUCAAUCUACCCAAAAAAAAAAAAAAUUGUUUUGGCUCAUGCAUGCUCUGUUCGCUGAUGGGGCAAUUAUCUGAAAAGUUAGUAAGAACUUCUGCAGGUCAGUGGUUGGAAACAGCAUUCUUGAUCAUUUGGCAUAUUAUGGUAUUCAAAUGGGGUGCGAGGAAGGAGGCUCGUGCAGCACAAUCAUGGAUCCUAGUUCUGUUGCAUACAGAACCAUGGAUAUUGAAGGAAAUUUUGUGUUAUCUCGAAAUUUAUCCUUCGAUAGUUUGAGAAGAAGCUCAGAAGUGAAGGGUCAGGUGGAUUCAAUGUAGAUAUGUUAUUACUCUGUAAAUGGACGAGAUGUCGCCGCAUUCUUUUGAUCCUUUCGCUGGGGUUCUGCAGCUCUGAAGUACACUGCUGGAAAUUGGUAUUUCUCAGGCAUGGUUGUGAAGAAUUACCUGUACAUAGUUAACAGAUAAUUUUCUGAAACGAAAAGGGGAAUUGCUACUGGCUUCAUCUUUGUUUAUGUAAAUACAUUAAUUGUUGAUAUAUACAAAGAUUAAGCAACUGGGAGGUGAUGGAGACAUUGAUCAUUCUCCACAUCGAAGCUGCUUUCCCUAAACCCCCUAAAAUAAACAAAUAAUAAUAAAGAUCGACUUCCAUGGUUCAUGUUAUCGUAUGAGAGAUGACACGUUAAUACAUAUGGGAGAAAAGGCGAAAACGAUAUCAUUGUUGUGUCAUCCGCCCACUUUCUCAAAUUGCUUUGUAAAUAUGUGUUAUGACUGGCGAUUGAGAGGGGGUAGAAAUACUGUAGUCGCUGAAGAUUGACAUCUCUGUGUGCCCUCAACGGAAAUAGUUUUUUUUUUUAAUUAAUAAGUGAGAGAUCUUGAUUCCAAAUUAUUUACUUACAUUUCUUUAUUCAUACAUUUUAAUCCAUUCUUUCUUUCUCGUACCAUUCAAUCCAUUCCUUUACCUCAUAAUUUGUGCCCUUCUAUUAAAAUGAGAACAAAAAAAGUGAGCGUCAGUAUUAUUACUCAAUGGUCAUAUGUUGGGUAUGUCUUAGAUUGGGGCUUUGUUGAUCAGUGAUGAAAAUGCCAUUCAGAUUCUCAAGGAACUCGUGAAAUAAGAACAGAGUUUGAGAUUUUGAUGAUACAUCUGAUAUCAUAAAUUUAUUCUAUAAAGUAAUUUGAAACUUUGGAUUUAUUGUGACGUUAAUUGAUUUUUGGUCUGUAGUAUUCUAAAACAAAACUUACAGUUUAAUUUCAGAAUCUUUUAAAACCAAUUGAAACCAUCAAGAAUCCAUUUAAAUAAAGGCUUAAUAAAGUCCCUCAAUGCAAAAAAAAAAAAAGGUUAGAAACCAAAAAGCCUCAUAUGGUAUACCUAAUACACAGAAAAGCCUCCCGUAGUUUUAAAACAUACAAAACGAUACCUCAUAUUUUGAACUAAAUUGUGAACUAACAGAAUUUGUUAAACUUAUCCUAAUUAUCAACAUGGGUGGAGCUAAGACCCCAUAUUAAGUGGGGUCAAAUUUUAGUAAAAUAAAAACUAUUAACGUUACACGCAAGUUAAAAUUGUACAAUACAAGUGCUCAUUUUUAAAAUGUUGCAAAAUCCAUUCAUUGUCAAUUUUGUUAAAUACAUCUUUUUCAAUGUAACUAAACGAAUCUCUUGAUUUUUUUAAAAAUAAUUUGCGAAUCUUCAUCAACUUGAUUUUCUAUGAGUUUCUUUUAAGAAAUUUAUUUUUACUUUGUUAUAAAUAAAAAUCAUAAUAACUUUAUUUCAUAUUAUAAAUAGAACUGGCAAUAAACCCUAAAACCCAACAACCCACCCAACCCGCCCAUUAAUUCCAAAAGAUGGGUUGGGUUAGUUGGGUUAUGAGUUUUGUUGAGUUGGAUAAAAAAAAUCCAACUUAUUUAUUGGACGGGUUGAAUUUUUUAUUUGGACACCUAAUACCCAACUUAUUUAAAAGUAAUUCAAAACAACAAAUACAAUAUUCAAUACACAUAUGUCCAACUAUUUGCAUUUGGACAUGUGUUAAUAAUUCAUUGACCAAUUUGUAUUCAAAAUUCUCAUAUAUAUGUUUGCAAUCAAUUUUUUUAAUUUUUAUUUAAAAGAAAAAAGAAACUUGAAACAAAAACUCAUGCUUAUUGUACUUUUACACAAUAGUUAAACUUGUUCAACUUUUAUAAUAAUUUAUUAUGCCUUUUAAGAGUAUUUGUUUUCCUCUCCUUUUUUUUUGUGGUUGUUCUCAAGUUGCUACUUGCUUUUGUUUGUUAAUAUUUCGUGUACAUAAAAUAGAGUUUUAAAUUCGCUCUAAUUGCAUUAUUUUACUUUUUUGUAAUUUGUUUUAUUUCAUUGUUAAUAAUUCCUCAUCAAUAUUAUAAUACAACAAAUUAUAUGCCUCUUACUUACAUUUUCAAGCAUAAUAUAAUCUAGCAUUCAAUAAUUUAAAUACAUAGAAUAUUACAACUUACAAUAAAUCAGAUAUGAAUAGUAAAAGUGUUAAUAAGUUGUGACAAAAAUAAAUUUCAAUCAAUUAGUAACAUUAAAAAUUAUAAAGUAAACAAAAUUUUUUAGCUAAUCUAUUUAAAUGUACAAUUUAUUAUCUUAAAUUUACAAUACAAGCAAUACAAAAUAUUGUUCUAUUUAUGAUGUGUUUCUAAGGACUUUAAGAAGUGAGUGUGUGUUUGUGUGUAUGAAAGUGUGUUAGUAUGUGAAAAUACAUUUAUCUAUGUAAAAAUGUGUUUAUGUGUGUUAAAAAAAUAUUUUUGUGUGUUAAAAUGUAUAUGAGAAAAUUUAUGUAUGAAAAUGCAUUAAUUAAUAUGUUGGAUCAUAUUUGGGUCAUAGGUUUGAGAUAACCCAAUCGAAAAUCAACCCAAUAUAAAGUUGGACGUGUUGGAUAUAACUCAUUUAAGUGAAAACCCAAUAUCAACUUGUCCAACUCGCCCAAUUGCCAGGUAUAAUUAUAAAUAAAAAAUUUACCAUCCACUUGAAAAAUUCUUGAUUUUGGAAAUUUUGAAAUUUCAAAAACUGGUUUUCUCACUCCACUCAAAAAAGUUCACCCUUUGUUUUUGGAAAUUUUGGUUGAAUUUAUUCUUGAACUAGCAUCCAUAAAUAACUUGAAAUAAAUUCAAAAUUAUUAUGAUGGCAAGAAUUAUGAAAUUUCAAUUGCUUGGGGUCAAAGUAGAUAGAAAAGAGAAAUUGGUAAAAUUUAGAGGGGUCAAAUAAGAUGCAACUUUAGAAUUUUCUAAAUUACCUAAACCUAUAACUAAUUUUCUAAAAUUAAGUGGGGUCAAUAGGCCCCACUUAGGCAUGUCAAUGGGUAGGGUCUAGGUUGGAUCCCUUUGAUCCAGAUCCAGACUCAUUUAAUUUAGUUAGGCCCAGAUCCAAAUCCAGACCCUUUUUGGUCCGAAAAAGCAAAUCCAUACCCAAACCCUUAUAGAUCUAGGUAUCCAAUGGGCAUCCAUGGGUAUUUUUUGAAAAUACUAAAGUAAAAAUAUAUUAAAAAUAUAUAGAGUUCAUAAAUAAUAGAAAUAUCAUCCAAUUUUUGUUUUCAAAUAAUAAAAUUAACAUUCAACAAAUUGAAUGCAAUAUUUUGAACUCAAAGAAAGAAUUAUUAUUGACUACUUCUAUAUAUUUUUAAAGAUUCAACUGCAUUCACAUCAAUAUUUCAUUUAUUUACUUUUACCUUUUUUUCUUUUCUUGAAAAAUUUGUACUAAUUACAAUGACAACUAGGAUUAGUUUUUAAAAAAGAAAACAACCAUAACAUAUAUAAAUAUUUAGUUUUAUUAAAAAAAUUUAAUUUUGUACCUCUUUUGCUUAUUUAAACCUCAAUGUUGGCUGAUGUCUCGCAAUCCAACACUAAAAUAGUGAAUGAGAUAAAAAUCUUUUGAUUAAGGACCGAUGACAAAUAAAUAGUAGCAUAAGAAGAUUUAUAAACACUUGCUCAUUUUUUCUUUGAUUCAAUCCAAUCAUCAGUAGUCACUAAUGUUUCAACCACAUAUAGAAGCAAUUUAGCAUGAGUCUCAUUAAUCAUCCAACUAGCAACAUUAAUUGCAGAUUCUGAUGUCAUAAAAUCUUAUUGUAUUUGAUCUAAUAGCCAUAAAAUAUUAUAUUAUUUUAUAAAAUUUCUAAUAUAUAUUAUUUAAUUAAAUAUAUAUAUGGGUCCGGGUAAGGUCUGGUAUGGGUUUGGAUUUAGAUAUGGAUUCUAGAAAACCAAGCCCUACCUAGACCCACGACUCUCUUAUAGGGUCUGGGGUCUAGAUAGGAUCUGGAUUUAAGAAAUUAAAUCCAAACCCUACUCAAAUAUAUUGGGUCUGGAUUGGAUUUGGGUAAGACCCGACCCAUUGACAUGCCUAGCUCCACUUGCUUAUCAAUCCAAUUAUCUUUAUAUUUUAAGUAUCAAAGCCACCUCCAUCUUUCACUAAUAGGAGCAAGGCUUUCUACUAAUGCUAAGUUCAAAAUAGCAGGUGGAUUUUAUCGUUUAUAAAAUUCCUUUCCUUUCUUCCUAUUCAGCUUUUCAUGAGAGAAGAGGAAAUCCUCGCCCAAAAGGGGGAAAAAAAGGAAUCAAGAAAUAAAGAAGGAAAUAGAAAGUUAAUAAAUAAGACCAAUUUCCUUCUUUUUUUGAAUAGCAAUGUCGAGAGUUCUCACUAUUACCUACACAUCUUUUAAAAUUAUGAAACAGCCAUUUGUAUAAUGUAUAGGUUGUCAAUUUGAAGCUUAUCAAGUAUGUAAGAAACAUUUAAGCUAGAAUGUUAAACCACUAUAGGUACAUGUUUCCUUAGGAGAAACAAACAAGAAGAUGAAGGAAAAUCCGUAAGAUACUGUUUAUUUCGAGCAAAGUAUACAAUGAUGUAGGCUUAUGCCUCACUUAAUUGCAGCAAGUCUACCAGCAUAGUUGUUAAUUGUAAACCAUUCUGUAGGAAACUAAGUGCGAAAUCCAAUUCAGUUCGAUCUCAGAAGUAGCUUUCGAGGUUAGGUCAGGAACCAAACCUCAUUCCUUCUCCUCUUGUUUUACUACCUCAUCUGUGAAGAUGGCAAGUUAUAUUAAGUGAAAGCCAUAGUGGAGGAGGAAGAUCUGGACUAAAUUUGCAUGAUGUUCCAAAGGUUUUCCAACCAUGCGAUUCUAUGCUGGAAUUGACAUGUAUAAAAAGACUCGGGUGCAAUAUUAUGAAAUGCAUCUAGAGUAGGGUACCUACUCUCCUUGUGGUUAAAAAUCCAUACUUUAUAUGCUUUUCAUCUCUACCAAUACAUAUAAGAUCCAAUAAUUGGUGAUAGAUACUAAUACAGUCAAGAUGGCAAUGUCAAAAUGCCCGUGCAGCUAUAAUGUUAUCUUCUUUUUCUUUUUCUCUUUGUUCGACAUCUGAAACCCUGGUAGAUAGGAAAUUAUGUGAUUGCUAACAAAGAGGACAACACAAGUAAUCAUAACCAUGGAGCACUCAUCAGUCAUCACCAAAGAUUCAAAACACUAAGCAAUUGAGCUUCAAAUCAACAAAAGUUGGACAUUGCAUUAUGCAUUCAAGGUAAGUUUGUGAAUGUAAAUGCUCUUUGACUAAAAGAAGAGAGAGAGACUAUCUGUUUAGGAAAAGGAAAGAGGUCGCGUAAAAGCAGAGAAAGAAAUAACUUACUAAAUCAGUGAUCAACAAAUAGAUGUGUAAAAUUUUGGGAAUAUACAAGCUUUCAAGGCCACUCGCCUGGGUUCAAACAUAACAUCAUCUGCUUUAACAUAAACCUUAGCAUCAUAAAGAGCAGAAGCAGCUUUCGUGAAAGCUAAUACUGUAAUAGGCUAUUUCAUCAAUACUAAUGUAUAGCAUGGGAGCUUACUACACCCCUUGUCAGUAUCUAGUAGCACAAUAUGCUAAUAUUCAUCUAACUUUCUCCUUAAGUCAAUUUGGGAAACCAAAGGCAGUUUUGCAUAUACCAGACGUGUAACUUACCAAGAAAAGAGUUACUUUUCUGCCAAGAAAAGAGUUACUUUUUCUCUCUGCCUUGCAUUUCAUAAGCCCUAAAAAGAUUUAUUGACCAUAUUGAGCGAGGCAACAAAGAGACAAGGCCACAAGAAUAAGGUUGCUUCAUUGCAUAUAGAAGGUAAUUGCUCUGACUGACUAUAUCAAAAUAUGCAGAUAGACCUUCUCAAAGUAUAUAUGUUAUAUGACAGUUUGAAUCAUAAUAACCACGAUAAGAGCAGUGAUAUGCUUGAAAUGCAAGGAAUAAAGAACUAACCAACAUGGCCCGAUUUAAAAUAGGAUCAAUACCAAGUAGAAAAGAUAUGAAGUACCUCGAGAGAAGCAAAUAGAGCCAUAUUAACCUAUCAUAACUUAUAAAUGGUCCACCACGAUCUUUUUUGGAGGUAAAGUUGAACUAAGACUUACCUCAAUCAUUUGAAAUGUGAAUAGAACAGCUCUCCAGAGUCUCAGACCAAUCACAACUACCCUAAUUUAGGAAACAUAUCUUAAAAGUGCAAGAUUGGGAACUAAUUUACAAAUCGAGCUUCAAUUAAGAGGACGGGUGUAGGUUGACAAAUAGAACUAAUUUCAUAAAGUAGUUACUAUUUAAGGAAGAGCAGACUCAAUCAGUGCAUUGCCAAUUUAGUUAAUCUACAAUGAAACAUGUAUGUCUGCACAUUGCUGCUAAAGAGUAGCAUAUAUGAAUCUAAAUGUUACUCCACACAUCUUCCAAGCAUCCAGUUUGACCAACUCUAAUUAAUGUAGUAACUUUGUAUGCCAUUUUUGCCCCUCAAAUAUUGAAAGGAAAAAUAGCACAAGAAAACUGAUGAAGGCUUAUGUCUUUGUCCAUUUCCAAAUACACCCACAAACGGAUCUCGUCGAACUGCACAAAUUCUUUUCAAUAUGGGAACAUUCAUAACCUUCUAACUUCCAUUUCCACACAAUGCAUAAGUUCAACCAAAACAACUUUUCAAAAACUCAUCUCUCAAUUCCAUGAUAAGUUCUUUAUCUAAUUACACGACCUGAAAUCUAACAAUCUCCUGAAACACCUAGUAAACAACCACAAAUUUUAAGAUUAAAGCACAUGUUUUCCUUUGAAUCCAAGUAAUUGAAGUUUAAAUCUCUUAAAGUAACUGCUAAGAGACCAAAUAUUGCUCUUAAUAAGUGAAAUGAACACUAUAAUCAGCCAAAUCAAAUCUCCAUUAUUUAAAAGAAAAAAAUUCUGUUGAAAUGGAAGAUGCUUUUUUCGCAUUCCACAAUUGUAUACACAUGCAAAAUCAUGAGCAUUAUGAAGGCCUAUUAUUAGAUAUUUACUAGAAAAAACAGUCCGCAAGCAAAAAGAAACUCUUACUAUGAAAUUAGAAAAAAACAAUUAUAUAUCAAUUUAAGAAAGCUUACGAAAUAUUUUGCCAUUGAAGAACUUGAUGAUGAGAGAAAACCGAGUCUGGUGCAGACUUUGACAACAACUAAUGGACCCAAACCCAGUUCAAAUUCUGAGAAAGCCUGUGGCUUUAUGCCAAUUUUUGCUUCCAAUUAAAUCCCAUUUAGCUUUGUUAUCACUGCUGCUGCUACCUAAACUAUGACUGCUAUCUGUUCUUACCGAUACCAACAGAAAGUGGAAAGAGAUUAGUGUAUUUACACCUGUAUCCUUUCCCCUGCUUGAUAGCUACAAUAAAAACCAACAAAAAUAAGGCCAGGCCAAACUAGAAAACAGAGGAACAUUGAGCCACAGGAAAAUUGGUAUUCAAAGUACAUUUAAAAACUAAAAGAAUUUCAUUUUUAAUAUGUAACAAUGUACAUCCAUUUCAUUUUUUCUAUUGCUAUCGAAACAAUUCUAAGGUUUUUUUAAAUAAUAUCAUACAACUGUUGAGAUUGUACAAAGGCACUACUAUAACAAAUUGGAGUAAUUUCAAAUUGAAGCCACUCCAUCGAAGCAAACCUUUGUCAGUUGAUUAUGCAAACAACUGGCUAUAGUUGCAUUUUGACAUUUUAAUUAGUUAACUAAGAAUUCUAGCAUCUAGCAAGUGAUUCCUUCCCACUAUGAGCAACUUCAUCAGGCUGUUGUCCACAGACAGGUUGUGGAGCGAACUUUUGUCUCAGGUCCUUGAUAAUGCAAACUACUAGCUUGGUCUUACUUUGUGCUCUCUCACUAGUCACCUUCUCUGAGUAUUUCUAUUCUAAUUGAGCUUCUCUAAAGGACAAGCCCUAUCAGCUUUUUUGGUCUAGAAUAUAUGGAAAGACCUCCUGGGGAGCAACCUCCUCUUGCAUUUGCAUAAUUAGUUCCUAUUUAUAACAAACAAGUUCAUUACAUUCUAAAGAGGCAAGAUGAAAGCAAUUUCCAUUAAAACAUAGGACACAACACUUGCCUAGUAUUGGGGUCAGCCUCUUUUGUCCUCAACUCUCACAUAUAGGCAUCUUCAGAUAUUUAGUUCCAGGAACUACCAUUAGUUGAAGGGCAAAUUAUAUUUUACCCCCUGUGAUUUUUGAAAAAAUCACAUAACCCCCCAUGAUUCUCAAAGCUAUACAUAAAUCCCAUGUGGUUUGGGUCGAAGUGUCAAACAGACGGAAAGCACCCAUCGUGACGAUUUGUGGGCGAAAUGUCCAAAUUAUCCAAAUAUAAAUACAAAAAAGGAAGCAGAUGAAGUUAGAUUUUCCCUUGCUCUAGUCUUUGUCAUGAGAAAGAGAGAGAAAAAGACCACCGACAAAUGAAGGAGAGAAAAUUUAACCCACAAAAUUAAAACCCUAGAUCUACCAUUGAAGAUCAAAAAGUAGCUGUGAAAGAGUAUCACGAAAGCUAUUGUUGUGUCUGGUAAGUUUUUCGACAUCAGUUUAGUAUAUAAGAUGCACUUGAGCAUUUGGAACCGAAACUAUCGGGCGUUGGAAAUUUAAUAAAUCAGUGAUAAUAAUGCUUAAGCAUUGAUUAAUUAAAAUUUUGCUGCUUUGGGACAACCUGUAUUAUCAUGAUUAAGGAUAGAGUAUUUUAUCAACUAGAAUUGAACUUAUGCGUUAGGAUUAGGGUAAAAAAAAUUGCAUUCAAAAGUUCUAAAAUCACUGGAAUUUCAGCUAAACAUGGGUAAAAUAUGGUUUUGUUAGUUUGAAAAAUGUUAAUUAGUGUUAAAUUUGGGUUAGAUUUGGGUGGCUUGGUUGUCAAUAAUAUAGAGUGAUUUGGCUGCCAAUAAAGUUUUGGCAAUUUGGCCAUUGACUAAUUCUUGCUUGUCGGCCAUCAUGUGGUCCAUUGAAGUAUAUGAUAAGCUAUAGGUUCUUUUCUUAAUCAGAUUGUGUUUUUUCUUAUCAUGUGUUUUCACUGAAGUAUGUAAUUUAUUGUAUGUCCUUUUCUUAAUCAGAUUGUGUUUUUUUCUUAUCAUGUGUUUCACUAUUUCUAAUGCAAGCUUUCAAAAAAAAUGACAACUUCAAAAAGAAUAACUAUAAAAUUGCAUUUUGGUGGUAUAUUCAUAUGGGAACCAGAAAUUGUCUAUACUGGUAACAAUGUUGCCAUAUUUAAAAAUUGUGAGACAAGGAAAUUGUCUAGGGAUAUGUUGUGUGAAAUGUAUGGUAGGUAUGGUGAUGCCUCAAAUGUGAACCUAUAUUUUGAAAUACCAGAUUGUGGGUUGUAUGUUAGAGCAGCUGAAAUCAAAGGAGAUAAAGAAAUAGAGUUAAUGUUAACUGUGCAUGAAGGCGUAGAUGUUAUCAAUAUAUAUGCUAAAUUGCGUGAUGAAAAACCUAGUCAAGUCGCUUUUUUCAGAGUAAAAAGUCAUGUUAAAAGUGCCACCACUAAUGUCCCAUUUUUUGUGAGCUGUCAUGAUGAUAAUAGAAAUAACCUGUUAGGCAAGAACAUGCGAGAGGAUAAUGGGGCACAAAAUAUGACAUCUGAUAAAGAUACCCCUAAAAAGUUAGCAAACAAUAAAGGGAAACAAAUAGUCAAGAAGUCAGCGAGAAAACCUACUAAAGAAGCUGGAAACAAAAAGCACAACAAAGCAAUCACAAAAUCAGCAAAGAAAAAAGAUGAAAAAGCUGUAGAGAAGCAAGAUGAAGUUGAAAAAUAGUUUGCAAGUGAAGAUGAUGUUAGUGAUGCUAGAUCUAACAGUUUAGAAGAACCUGGGUGGUUGAAAGAGGGAUUAGAAGGAUCAAAAGAUAAGGGUGUUUUUGCAAACAUAGCAAAGGCUAAUGAAAUAGAAAAUCAACAGCAUCCAUAAAGCACAACUAAAGAACCAGCAACAGCAAAGCAGACAUAUACAUUGGAGGAUCUGCCACCACCGAGAUAUGAUAAGAACAUUUUUGAAGAAGGGGAGAGUUCUAAAAUUAAUGAAGAGUGGAAUGAAUUUGCUGUUGAUGAUGAAGAACUGCUUGACAUUAUGUGGAGAGAUGAUGAAAGAAAUGGGAAAGGUAAUAGCUGUCGAGAUUUUAAUGCUGCAGUUGAGUACACAAAAUCAAAUUUUGAGCUGAAAGUUGGGGAUAAAUUUAAGAACUUACAAGCCUUUAGAGAAGCACUUAUGGAAUGGAAUGUCAGGAAGGCUACACCAUCAAGUACAAAAAAUGAAAAAGUAAAAGUUAUUGCCAUGUGCAAAAAGGGUUGCUCCUGGAGGAUACGUGCAAGCCCAAUUAAAAAAAAGCACUUUCCAAAUCAAAUCAAUAAAAAGAGUACAUGUGUGUGGAAGAGAAUACAGCAACCAUCAUGCAAAUGCAAGAUAUUUGAGCCAAAAAUAUUUAGACAGGUUCAAGGAUGAAUCGAAUUCUUCUAUUGAAGGAUUUGUCAAAACUGUGAAGAGAGAGAUUAUGGUUGACAUAAGCAUUAGAUAGGCUUAUAGAGCUAAAAGGUUUGCAAGAGAGGCACUACAAGGGAAUGAUAUGAGACAGUAUCAUGUUAUCAGAGAUUGUGCUGCUACCUUGUUGAUCCGAAAUCCUGGUAGCCGUAUUAUCCUGCAAGUGGCUAGACUGGAUGACAAUGAGGUUGGGACAUUUGAAAGAAUGUACUACAGUUUAAGUGCAAUGAAGAAUGGGUUUCUAGCUGGUUGUUGACCAAUAAUUGGAUUAGAUGGCUGCUUUUUUAAAAAGCCCAUUUGGUGGAUAGCUUUUGACAGCUAUAGGCAAGGAUUGCAAUGAUAACAUGUUUCACAUGGCAAUUGCUGUAGUGGAAGCCGAGAGAUAUGACUCACGGAAAUGGCUUUUGAUGAAGUUGAAAAUUGAAUUUGGUGUUGGAAAUGGAGCUUUAUGGACAUUCAUAUAUGAUAGGCAAAGGGGUUAGUUAGUGCAAUUGAUGUGUUUCCUGAAUCAGAGCAUAGGUACUGCCUUCGCCAUAUAUAUCAAAACUUCAAACAAAAGUUCAAGGGCAAGGAGUUGAAGGAGUACCUUUGGGCAUCUGCUUCUGCUGGGAACAUUCGUGACUUUAAGACAGCAAUGGCUGAAUUGGAAAGGGCUGAUCCAAAGGUGGAAGAAGCUAUGAAUGUAGCUAGUUGGUUAAGUUGGAUUCCUGCACAUUUAUGGUCCAGGUCACACCAGCUCCUCAUGCAAGAGUGAUAUUCUUGUUAAUAAUUUGAAUGAGUUGUUUAAUUCCUACAUACUUCCAGCAAGAGAUUUUACAAUCAUCUGCAUGUUUGAGUGGAUAAGAAGAAAACUGAUGCAGAAGCUAAAUGUGAAAAGGGAAGGCAUGCAAAAGUAUCAAGCGAACCUCUGUCCAAACAUACAAGAACGACUUGAGAUAGAGCUGUUAAACGAGCCGAGUCGAGCUCGUUCGAUUAGUAAUUCGAGCUUCACAAGGCGUUCGAGAUCGACUCAAUAUACUGGUAGAAAACUCGAGCUCGGGCUUGAACUCGAGUUUGAAAUCGAACCAAGCUCAUCGAGCUUGAAACUCGAGCUCGAGCUUGCAAAAAACUGGAGCCGAGGCUCCAAAGAUUUAACUUCACUUUCCUUUAUCCACUUACCGUUUAUUGUGGACAUCAUACUAGAGCUAAUGCGGUCAAGAAUCUACUGCUUUUUCAUCCAUAACUUGAAGAAAUCAUAGAGCACAAGAUUUUGUUAUUAACAAUUGGCAUGGGCGCUAAAAGAUAUAAACUAUAUACUAGCAAGAAAUAAAUAUUCAAAGAAACUAAAUAGUAGAACAAUCUCGCUGCUACUUGAUGCUACCACCAAUUAACGACUAGUAUCAGUGUAUGAAGUAAAUUAGAAUCUAUCUCCACUGUGCACCUUCUUGCUAUGCCUGCUCAGAUUAUGCAGCCACCCAAUUCCUUUAAUGGCUUUAGAUAUCUUAACAAGAUUAGGCCUUGUCAUUCCCAAAUUCACCCUUCCUGCUGACAACUUAAGGGCUUGCAAGAAACAAAACUGCCCAUCUGACUCCUUCUCCUCAUCGUGCCCGUCGCAGCUGAUAUCUUCGCAUUCACGAUGCUUGCUUUCGUAUUUCUUCUUGUAACUCUUCUUCUUGCUCUUGCUGUUUGCCUUGCUCUUAGUCGAUUCCACCACGUACGUCUCCCACAAUAAAUCCAUCCCUUCACCUUCAUCGGCAUUGUUUCUCUCCUCAAAAAGCUGUCGGGUGCGGCCUAUGAAUAGAGGCUGCGGGGUGCAGGGUGAGAAUGGAGGCUACUGGGUGCAACGUGAGAAUGGAUGCUGCGCGGUGAGAAUGGAGGCUGCUAGGUGCGGCGUGAGAAUGGAGGCUACGGGGUGCGGGGUGCGGUUGGAGAGUGACGGUUAUUGACGGGAAAACAUAAGACCAGAAGAGGAAAGAAAAUUAGGGCUACAGACAGAGACGGGAGAUAACUUAGAGUUCCACAUAUACAUUGAAAUGACGAAAAUGCCCCUACCCUUCGAGCCUAACGAGCUUAAACGAGUACUAAGUAGAGCUCAAGCUCGGAUCGUUUGUCUCUCUAAACGAGCCGAGCUGAGCUCUUAUCGAACCGGGUCGAGCUCGGCUCGCAAGCUACUCGGUUCGAUUAACAGCUCUACUUGAGAAGAACAAGAUAAAUAGCAGGUUCUGCAUAGCUCAUUAUUCUCGAGAUGCUGAGUAUGAAGUGGACUGUGAGACUAGAGGAUAUUUUGUUGAUAUAAGUCGUAGAACAUGCACAUGUGGACUAUGGCAACUAACUGGGAUUCCAUGCUCACAUUCUAUUGUUGCCAUUCAAAGGGAUAAAUCAUAGCCUGAACACUAUGUUGAUCCUUGUUAUAGCAAAGAAGCAUACUUGAGCACCUACAACUACACUAUAGCUGCAAUGCCCUUUGAAGAGUAUUGGGAUUCAAAAGGAGCUAAACAGGUGAAUCGUCCAAAGAUUAGAAAACAACUUGGAAGACCCAAAAAAGUCAGAAGAAGAGAAGCUGAUGAAGUUAGAAGCACUACAUCUACAAGAAAAGGACUUGUUGUGCACUGUAAGAAGUGUUUUAUGCCAGGACAUAAUUCUAGAACUUGUAAAUUCCUAAUCCAUCCAAAGUCUAGGUUUUAUAAGGUAAAUUGUAGUAGUUGUUACUCCCUCCGUCCCAUUGUUAAUGUCAUGUUUCACUUUUUCAUUGUCCCAAAAUUAGAGUCACGCUACACUAUUUUCCUUCUCACGUUCCAUCCUUGCCCUCAUAGUGCAUGUGCUAGAAAAUCCAAAUAAAUUUGGUGGGACCUGCUAUUUAUUAUCUAUUUGGAGAAGCCAGAGGAGUAUGUGAGACUAACUCUCACUUUAUAAGGCCAAUAAUAGCGCGUGUCUCUAACAUACAAAGGGAUGCAUUUGGUUAAGAUAGGACCCACAAAAUCAUUACUCCGUGAAAAACACAAAGUGCAGCUGACCAUUGUACUUGCGAUGGGGUAAAUUUGGAACAAAGACUUGGCUGUCAAUAAUGAUACCACUGUACAUAAAAAGUUGCAUUCCCUAUAAGCGUCCCUACUAUUGGGACGGAGAGAGUAAUUUGUAAUCAGUGUUACUAUUAAAAUAGGUGCCUAGUGGAGCUAGUGGUGCUGGAUAUGCAAGUAAUGAUGUUGCAAAUGAAACAGAUAUUGGUGGAAAUGCAAUAAGUAUUGGAUCUGUCUCACAACAGGGUUCAACGUCACGGGUACUAUUAAUGAUGCUGAUUAUUACUUUGUUAACUGCAAUUUACUGACUUAAAUCUAUCUAUUUAUGCAGCCUUAUGCAAUUUCUGCCGUUGAACCAGUUUUGGCUACUAGAAGAUCAACUUCUACUAUUGAAUCUGUUUGGAUAGUAGAAGAUCAACUAGAGUUAGAAAACUUGUACCAACAGUUGCAAGUGUGUUGGAAAAUUUGCGGGUUAAGAGAGCUAAACGUGUUUGAUGACCAUUGGUUAAGGAGUUGUAAUUCAACUAAGUUAUUUGUCUUCAAUGCUUUUUGUUAAUAGUUUGUUGCUGGACUUUUUGUUAAAUCUUGGUGUCUGCUGGACUUUUUGAUUAGGUACUUAUGUACCUUAUUUUGUUUUGUAAAAACUGGUUGAUGUAUUACCAAAUUUUUGUGAACUUCUGGACAGCUAUAUUGUCAAAUGAAUCCAAAAUUCAACCUAUGAGUACCAAAGUAGGUUCAUACCAACUGGAAAUCUUGUUUACCCAUUUAUAUCAAUUGACCACCAAAACAGGUUCAUUCAUUCAUUGAAGACAACAAAGUAAUCCAUUUAAAGACAAGAAGUCCAGAUUUACAGCAUUUUCAUAUCCACAAUUCAUUUGAUAUAUUUUCAUGUGAACAUCAAAACGAGAAAUGAUAACACAGAUAUAGCAAAACAAGCACCCAUACAAAUCUUCAUGACUCCUAAGGUUUCUUCAAUGUUUUUCAUUUUCCUCAAAUAUAAACCACCAUCCACGCGUAAGCCUUCCAAAUCUGAACCAUCAAUACUUGAUUCUCCACUAAAGAUGUCUCCGCUUGUAACAUUCAAAUCACUGGUGUAAUUUUGUCUUAUUCUCCUUGUUGGAUUGCACCAUGAGAAAAAUUCACAAGUUUAUGUUACACAAACAAAAUAUAGCUUUCCUUUUGAAGGUUUGUCGGAUACCACUGCUUUUCUCCCGCAUGCACAAUGCAGGUAUUGGUACCUUAGAUCUUGAGUACUUCCACCAGCACUGCUUGAGCAUGACAUCUAGAGUUUAUUGAAAAUAAUAAUAAUAAUAAUCCAUUCAAGUUAUAUUUCAGGAAAAGGAAAAGACUGCACCUUGAUGUUAUAACUCACCUUCAGAUUUCAUUCUUUCUAAAUCUUGGUUUGGUUUCUUCAGUAAAUGUAUUGCCUUCACCAAGAUUCAAUGGAAAGUCAGCUACAAAGUAUUUUCGGUUCAUGAAAAGAGAUAAGGAGCACAGAUCUAGGCUUUACUGGGUGCGUUAAAGUGGUUAGGGGUAAUAUGAGAAUGUUUCUUACUGCUACCAGUAGUACAAGUGCAUUUAAGCCACAAAUCGUCAUGAUGGGUGCUUUCCGUCUAUUUGACACUUGAAUCCAAAUCACAAGGGGUUUAUAUAUAGCUUUUAGAAUUAUGGGGGGGUUAUGUGAUUUUUGCAAAAAUCACAGGGGGUAAAAUGUAAUUUGCCCUUAGUUGAAUCAUGCUCAAACUUUGGUUAUCAUGGUCUUCCAAAUUUGUAAAGUCAAAACCUGCUUUCCAAGUCUCAAUUGUACUCAGAAUGGCAGCUACUAUGUGCUUUUCAACCUUAAGAGAUUUUAGCAUCUACAGAACAAUUUAGCUUUCAUUAGUUAAAGAAGCCACUAUCAUGAACUUUUCUUCAGCAGAUAGUUAAAAACUUCAGAAAAAUUUGAGUAAAUAUACCAUAUCAUAAUCGACUUGCUAGGUAGCAGCAUUUGGUAAAAUAUGGACAAUAAACAAAACACGUUCAUGCAAAUGGGAUUUGACCUUAAAAUGUAGAAGGGGAAUUUUUUACAUGAAUCAUCCAAAAAUGUAGAAGUCACAAAAGUAAAACAAAGAAAGGUUUUAAUACAUUUGUACAUGUGAGCCCUUGUAGUGGUGUGUGUUUUUGCCUGUGUGCACGCAAUAGUGUGUGAAGCAUGUGCCUGCUUUCGUGGGGGUGUGUGUGUGCGUGUGUGCAUGUCAUAGAGAGAGAGAGAGAGAGAGAGAGAGAGAGAGAGAGAGAGAGCUAGUAAACUGAAAAUUUAACAUUAAAGAGAAUUGAACUACUAAAGUUGAGCUUACCUGUGAAACUUUGAGAGAGAAAAGAAAUUAUUCCCAUUAUUUUGAGAUGAAUAACAAACAGGCACAUAUAGUAGAAAGAUUGGUAUUCCAAUCCAGAAAUUUAGAAAGAAUUCCUUUAGAUCAAAAAUUUCACAAAGAAUAUGAAACUAACUAGAUAAGACUCAGUUAACAUCCAACCAAAUCUCUUUAUCGGAAACAAUAACUAGAUAAAGAAUACUAAUAUAGAUGACAAUUUCACACUCCCCUUGAUGCGAAUUCGAUUAUCCAAACUCCCGCUUUUCAAGAAACGAAUUGCACAGGCAGCAGAAUGAUCUAUCUUGAUCAGACUAUAGAUACAAAAGAAUGGAUUCUAAACAAUCAAGGACCGCUCGAGAUUGAUUAGAAGGGUAGAAUGACACUACAAUUCAACAUGAUCUUGAAUUGAUAAGUCGAUUGAAAAUUCAAGAAUCCUCUCAAGUAUUCAAGAAAAGAUCUCUUAGACAAGAGACUUGCUAAACACAAAGUGUUUUGCUGGAAUUUUCUCUAAUUUAUCAUGACUUCUAUGAAAAUAACGUUUGAGACAAUGCUUAUUUAUAGCCUUACAAAGACUCAAAAUCCUAUCUAAACUAGAACUACGUUCCUAAAUCCUAACUCGACUAGAAUAGGAAACUAACUAACUCAAAUUGGCUAACACUUUGGUCCAUAUGACCUUAGCCAUUUAUUCAACCAAACUAACAACUCAAAUUAACUAAUUAACCAACUACUAUUUGCUGAAAAUAAUUAGACACAUAUGGUUAGAAUUUUUCAAGCAAACGACAAGAUUAAGGAAACUAACAUAAACGACUUGAACUAAGGACACUAAGGAAAAUCAAGGAAGGGAUCUCGGAUUUGAUGACUCUAAUGGAUGAUUUGAUGAACUCCAAUGGGUCAAUCUCUUGUAUGAUUUGAACAUGAAUCAUUGGAUCCCAUGUUCAUAUCAUCCCUUCAAGCUAGGUUGCACAAAUUGUACAUGCUCAGCUUGCAACUCAACUCUUCAAAUCUAGUUCUUGGAAGUGAUUUGGUGAGAUUAUCAGCAAUUGAUGUUGAGAAGGGAUGUAGACAAUUUGAACAGUCCCAUUUUCAAUCUUCUCUAGGAUGAAAUGACGACCAAUCUGAAGAUGCUUUGUCUUAUCAUUGUGAACAAGACUUUUAGCAAUGUUGAUAGCUGCCUGGUUAUCAUAGAAUAACUUGAUUGGUUGUUUGUCCAUCACCCUCAGUUCACUAAGUAAUCUUUGAAUCCAGAUAUCUUCACAAAUUCCCAAAGCUAAUGAUAUGAACUCGGGUUCUGUACUACUUUGAGACAACUGAUUGUUUCUUACUUCUCAAUGUAACAAGGUUUCCGAAGAUUUAUGAACAAUAAUCAGAAAUUGAGCAUCUAUCCAGUAGAUUCCCUAUGUGAUUAGCAUCAGUAUAGAUAUCAGUCUCUAUUUUGCUAUUCUUCCUGAAUAAUAAUCCCUUUCCAGGUGUUGACUUAAGAUAUCUUAGUAUCCUAUACAUAGCCUUCAUAUACUAUUCCGUGGGAUUAUUCAUGAAUUGACUUACUAAAUUGACAGUAAAUUCAAUGUCUGGAUGCGUUUAGGAGAGAUAAAUUAAGUUACCAACAAGUUGCUGGUAUCUCCCCCUAUCUACGGGAAUACUUCUUGAUUCUACACUUAUCUUUUAGCUUAAAUCCAUGGGUAUAUCUACUGGUUUACAGUCAAGCAUCCCUGUUUCCUUCAACAUAUCCAAUAUAUAUUUUCAUUGAGUCACUGCAAUACCUUCUCUUGACCUUGCUACUUCUAUACCAAGAAAAUACUUUAGAUUACCAAGCUCCUUAAUCUCAAACUUUCGUGCUAGAUGUUGUUUUAAGAUCUGUAAUUCUUCGUCGAAAUCAUCAGUAAGAAUAAUAUCAUCAACAUAGACAAUCAAAAUAGCAAUUUUCUUUUCAGUUGAAAACUUGACAAAUAAGGUAUGAUCUGAUUGGCAUUGUUUAUACCCACAUUUUUUCACAAGCUUUGCAAACCUAUCAAACCAUGCGCGAGGAGACUAUUUCAAUCCAUAAAGGGACUUUUGUAGUCUACAUACCUUGUUUUUAGUGUGGGAAAUUUUCAUUCCGAGGGUACUUCCAUAUAAACUUCUUCUUCAAGAUUGCUAUUUAGAAAUGUAAUGUCGAGUUGAUGUAAUGGCCAGUCACAAUUAGCUGCAAGUGAAAGAAGAACUCAGAUGGUAUUAAGUUUAGCAACUGAAGCAAAGGUUUAUAGAUAGUCAAUAUUAUAUGGCUGUGCGAAUCCCUUAACAACAAGGCGAGCUUUCAGCCUCUCAAUACUUCCAUCUGCUUUGUUUUGAUGGUAAAGAUCCACUUGCAACCUACUGACUUUUUUCAAGCAAGUAAAUCUGUAAUCACCCAUGUUCCAUUCCUUUCAAGUGAUGUGACCUCCUCAUGAAUAGCUUUUCGCCAUCCUGGAUGUUUAAGAGCCUCAUAAAUAGUCCUCAGAACGUGUACACUGUCAAAUGAAGUAAUAAAUGCCCUGCAUGUUGGAGAAAGAGAGUUAGCUCACAAAAUCUCCAAUCGGAUGUUUGGUACAUGAUCUUACACCUUUCCUUAGAGCAAUUGGAGCGUUAUCAUUAUCAAUCAUUGGAAUAAUUAAUUCAUGAGAAUGAUUGGAUUCACUUGAGUGAACUUGAGAAGAAUCAGAAUUCGGGUUGCAUUCAUGACAAUGCAUGAGAGGUACAGGGUUCUCACUCUCUUUGAUGUUCUUUUUCCUUUUUGUAUAGAUUUGAAGUUGAAAGGAGUCAAGUUGCCCAAACUUGUGAUUUGAGGUUGGACUAUUAGAUGAUGAAUGCUUGAAAUUGAUUUUUGGUAUGGUGCCUGAGUCAAAAGGAAGAUAAACUAGAAACUGAGGUGUAUGUUGUGUUUGAGUUGUGUUCUGUAUCUGGGUUAGCUCUCUGAUGAGAAGUUCAUCCCAAAAUUGAGAUUCCCUCACAUUCUCCCUCUAAAUGUUAGGUUUUGGAUGGUAAGGCUCAUGCUUAAAGAAAGUGACAUCCAUUGAAUUGUAUAUCCUUUUUGUAAUAGGAGAGUAUCAUUUAUAAACCUUUUGGUUGGAAUUAUAACCCUUUUGGUUGGAAGAAUAACCUAGAAAGACACAUUUGAUGGACUUAAGAUCUAAUUUAAUUUAGUUUGGGGAAUGGCUAUGAACAAAAACCAAACACCCAAAGAACCUUGGAGGUAUAUUUGAGGAGAUGAAUUUGAUGUGAGGAUAGACUUUUAGAAGAACUUGAUGAGGGUUUUGAAAUUUGUGGACUCUAGAGGGCAUUCUAUUUAUUAGGUAAGCAGCAAUAAGAACUGCCUCACCCCAAAAAUAUUUAGGCAUAUUAGUUAUGAAUAGAAGUGCUCUGGCUACCUCAAGAAUAUGGUGAUUUUUCCUUUCAACUACUCCAUUUUGUUGAGAAGUAUCUACACAUGAGCUGAUAUGGAUGAUGUUGUGAUGUGAGAGAUAUGAUUCAAGAUGGGACUUGAAGUAUUCUUUGGCAUUGUUAGUUUUAAAAUUUUAGAUAUGAGCAUUGAAUUGAUUUUGAACCAUCAUAUGAGCAUUGAAUUGAUUUUGAACCAUCAUAUGAAACUUUUGAAAGAUGUGACUAACUUCAUAUUUUUCUUUCAUAAGAAAUAUCCAAGUAAGACGAGUGUGAUCAUCCACAAAAGACACAAACCACGGAGCACCAGUGAGAAUUUUAAUUCGUAAUACACCCCACACGUCACUAUAAAUCAUGGUGAAAGGACGGAUAGGUAAGUGAUAACUUAGAGGAAAAUUUGUCCUAAUAUGCUUGACAAACCGACAGUUUUCACAGUGAAAAAUACUCGAGUUUUUAUUGAUGAACAAUUGAGUAAACAUCUUUUCUAAAUACACAAAAUUGGGAUGGCCAAGACGAAAAUGCCAAAGCAUAACUUCAUCCACAUUAUUGACACUUGAAUUGGAAAUAGAGGAGUAGAGAUGACGCAAUGACAUACUCUUUGACACACCAGUGGACAUUUUGCAACUUGAAUAAUUAGCUGGUCUACUUGCAGGGUUAUUAGUUUUGAGUAGGUAGAGAUCUGACACCAACUCAGCAUUGCCAAUUGUUUUCCUCGAUUCCAUCUCCUGAAAUUCACACAAAGAUGGGAAAAAUUUAACAACACACUUAAAAUCUUGACUCAACUUUCUAAUUAAAAGUAAGUUACAAUCUAAAUUUUGAACAUGAAGAAUAGGAGAGAGAACAACAUCCUUUAUUAAGUAUGUAGAUCCCAUUCUCAAAACCAUGAAAAGGGAACCAUCUGCAAUAUGAACAAAAGAGUUAUGCUUUUAAGAAUUGUAAUUAUAUAGGAGUGUUGCAUCUCUAAUCAUAUGAUCUGAUGCACCGGAAUCAACAAUCCAGGAUCCAUUAUAGUCCCUGCUAGUUGUAAGGGCAACAGAAGAAUUACCUCAUUGUGCCAUCACAUUUGUUGCUCUAGGUUAGCUGGUAGAUUGGAAGAGAUUGUGGCUGAUCAUUUUUUGCAGAAUUUCUAUUUAUACUUUGUUGAAUCCACUUGUUUAACUUGAUGUUUUUCCCUCAACGGAUGAAGAAACGCUAGCAUGACUUUUUUUUUUAAUCACAAUUUGGCUUGUUUGGCUUCUGAUCUGCUGGUCUUCCAUGGAUCUUCCAACAAGUCUCUAUCAAAUGUCCUGACUUAUGGCAAUGUUCACACUAGGGCCUUCCUCGUUGCUGUCGAUUGUCAUUGGUGCUGAGGUUGGUUCCUCGGAUUGCAAGUGCAGAACUAUCAAGCAGUGGAGUGUUCACUGCUGUAUCUUGCGAUCCCAUCAUUACUUUUUUUUUCUACACGUCGAACCUCAGAAAAUACUUUUCUAAUGCUUGAUAGUGGUUUGAUGCCCAUAAUACGUCCACUUACUUCAUCCAACUCCUUGUUGAGUCCCAAUAGGAAUUUGAAUAUUCUUUUUUACUCCACAAUUUCCCUGUAAUUAGCUGCAUCAUCUGUGCACUUCCAUGUGUCAGUAUCAAACAUAUCAAGUUGCUACCAAUGCCGUUUUAAGGUAUUGAAAUAUUGUAUGACAGAGAGACUCUCUUGGCGAAAAUCAUACAAGAUAGCCUCAAUCUAGAACAGUUCUACUGUAUUUUCAGAACUCGAGUAUCUCUUUUUGCUGCGUCCUAGAUUUCUUUUGCUGUGCCAUAGAGAAGAAAAUUUGCACCUAUAUCAUAUCAUUGUUCAUGAAAUUUAUCAACCAUGACAUUAUCAUAUUGUUGUUACUCAUCCACUGCCUAAAUUUUGAAUAUCCAUUCUUUGGGAUUUCAAUCUCACAAGUGGGAUAUUCAUCAUUACCUUUUUUGAAAAUAAACAUGAACAUGAGCUGAUACCA